AACGAACGCUGGCGGCGUGGAUUAGGCAUGCAAGUCGAACGCGAAAGAGGGGGCAACCCCUUGAGUAGAGUGGCGAACGGGUGAGUAACGCGUGAGAAACCUGCCUUCGACAGGGGGAUAACACUCCUAACGGGGUGCUAAUACCGCAUGAGACCACGGAGUCGCAUGGCUCCGAGGUCAAAGGUGGCCUCUAUUUAUAAGCUACCGGUCGAAGAUGGUCUCGCGUCCCAUUAGCUAGUUGGCGGUGUAAAAGACCACCAAGGCGACGAUGGGUAGCUGGUCUGAGAGGAUGGUCAGCCACACUGGGACUGAGAUACGGCCCAGACUCCUACGGGAGGCAGCAGUCGAGAGGCUUCGGCAAUGGGGGAAACCCUGACCGAGCGACGCCGCGUGAGGGAUGAAGGCCCUUGGGUUGUAAACCUCUUUUGUUCGGGAAGAAGUGCGAUCAGGUGAACAAUCUGGUCGUUUGACGGUACCGGACGAAUAAGCUCCGGCUAACUCCGUGCCAGCAG
This 512-nucleotide ribosomal RNA is filed under the name uncultured bacterium. Its description in RNAcentral is "bacterial SSU rRNA". It matches the Rfam family "Bacterial small subunit ribosomal RNA", at positions 29 to 514 of the family's 1533-position model. The record is from RNAcentral.